This 555-nucleotide long non-coding RNA is filed under the name Callithrix jacchus (white-tufted-ear marmoset). Its description in RNAcentral is "lncRNA (ENSCJAG00000077279.1)". Lineage: Eukaryota; Metazoa; Chordata; Mammalia; Primates; Cebidae. The record is from RNAcentral.
GUGACUUCACAGUUCUUCCCUUUCAGGUGAAAUGUACAUCCUGCCCCAUUAACUUUGGAUUUGACUAUGUGGCUUGCUUUUGGUCAGUGGAAGCAGCAGGAUGCUGGUUCCCAACUCAGGCUUUAAGAAGCCUAAUAUGUCUCUUCUUGUUCCUUUUUGCUUCUGCCAUUUUCAUGACACCAUGGCUUGUCCACUGGUCCAAAGAGAAUAAAAUAGACAUGGGGAAGAACUGGAUCCAACCUGCUGCUUAGAGACACGCAACUGAGUCCAACCUAGAUCACAUAAAAUCCAGCCACCCUGCAGAUGUUUUCUCUUGGAAACUGGAUCUAACUCCCAUGAAAAAGCCCAUGCUAACCUGCUAAAGAAUGAGACCAUAUGGAAGAGAAAUGAGUUGUUUAACUGGGGCUGUUCUAGACUAUCCAGCCCACAGAAAACCCGUCAGCUGACUGUAGAUGCAGGAGCAAACCAAGCCAAGAUAAGUCAAUCCCAGCAAAGAUCAGAAGGAUAUCCUAAGUGGCCAAUAAACUUUUGACCAAAAUAAAUACUUUUUUUCCU